UACGUAGGUGGCAAGCGUUGUCCGGAAUUAUUGGGCGUAAAGCGUGCGCAGGCGGUUUUGCAAGCCGGAUGUGAAAUCCCCCGGGCUCAACCUGGGAAUGGCAUCUGGGACUGCAAGGCUCGAGUGCGGCAGAGGAGACUGGAAUUCCUGGUGUAGCAGUGAAAUGCGUAGAUAUCAGGAGGAACACCGGUGGCGAAAGGCGGGUCUCUGGGCCGUAAACUGACGCUGAGGAGCGGAAAGCAUGGGGAGCGAACAGG
RNAcentral lists this ribosomal RNA (257 nucleotides) under uncultured bacterium. RNAcentral's name for it is "partial 16S ribosomal RNA". It matches the Rfam family "Bacterial small subunit ribosomal RNA", at positions 524 to 776 of the family's 1533-position model. The record is from RNAcentral.